This is a long non-coding RNA of Panicum hallii, 2120 nucleotides long. RefSeq lists it as uncharacterized. NCBI's taxonomy places the organism in Eukaryota, Viridiplantae, Streptophyta, Magnoliopsida, Poales, Poaceae. The record is from RefSeq and is a predicted model, not a curated record. The transcript has 2 exons.
GAGUGCCCUCGCCGAUGCGGUGGCGGCGUUGGCCUACUCUCUCUCCGUCCAUCCGCGUUGACUCGACGAUGGCGGCGGCGGAUGCCCACCCCUGCCCGUCCCCCCUCCAUCUGCGUCGCCUCGAGCGUCGGCCAGCAGCAUAUCCCCACCACGCGCAGAUCGACCGGCUGCCUCGCGUCGACGCCGCGCCGCGGCAGACCCGUGGCACGGCGGAGGCUGGGCCGGCCCUCCGUCCCGUUGUGCCUGAGCUGCCUCUGCGGCGUCGAUCCGCCUGCCGCCCUCUCCCACCUGCUCCACCGUAGGCCGAGCCCCUGCCUCACCCGCCGCCGCGCCACUCCCGACUUUUUUUCACCGCAUCCACCGUCACACGUUUGAAUCCCGACGCCGGCCGCUCCCAAUUAGUUGCGAAAGAGCGAUAAUCUUGGACAGACUAGAAGUUAUUUAGAAGGAGCCGGAGGUCAGAUCAGGAGGCAGCACACAGCAAGAUGAGUUUCUCGUUUAGGCUUUGCAAUCAAUUUUUCCUCAACAAUAUCCCCUUCCGUCGCGUCGGAGCCCGCCCGCCCGCGAGCUACUCCUGCCGCCGCUCGUUUCCGUUUGCCUGCCGCCGUCCGUUCGCCGCGCUCGUCGUCCCUGCCUCCACGCCCGCUCGCGAGCUGCUCCUGCCGCCGCCCGCUCGCCGCCCCGGCCGCCGCGACGCGGACGCGAGAGGCCUGGUCGCUCGGGGUCACCUGCGCCGUCCAGCCAACCCACCGCGCCGCCCCACAAGCGAGUAAAUCGUUCCUGCUUCUCUUCUGUAGCGAGUAAAUCAUGGGUGUUUCUCCAGUUGAAUUUGCAUUAUAGUUAUUGAUUCUUCUUUACCUGCUUGUGAAUGCUUGACGGCAUGAUUUUCUUUUUUAUUUAUUUUGGCCAGGUCUAGAUUAUUACCCUGAUUCCUCUAACGUGUGAAUCUGAAGUAAACAAACUGAUCCAAUGUUUCUAGGUUUUUUUUCCUUAUAAGAAUGUUUAGGUAGUAUUGAAACUACAAUUAUUCUUUAGGGCUGAGGACGAUAUGAACUUAGUAUCUCAGGCCUAGAUGAAUAAAUAGUAUGAUAUUAUAUUAGGAUCUGUAUGUAUGAUGUCAAAUAGUGAUUGCAUUAGUGUGCAAAAUGUCAAUUUUUGUCUACAUGGGAGGAGUAAUGGCUGAAGUGAUCUAUGUGCUCCUUACAAUUUCAUCUUGUAGUUUCUUUCAUUACUAUUUCAUCGUCUCCACCUUACUUGAAUACAGGCCGUGCAACUCCUCAUCCCAUCUAAUCUCUUGUGCUCUUGUCCCACUAUGAGAUCACAGAGGUGCAAAAACGUAGGUUGCUCAAAGGAAAUUCUAUGGUGGCUACAAUAUUCAGGUUAUAAUGCCCACAGGUAAGCUACAGGAACUACUUUUUUUUUUGACUUAAAGUGGCAGAACAGAUGAAUGCAUAUUACUCUACAAGGAAUCUGCAAUUUUUUAUACUCUUUGGAAAGACAUGACAUACCUAGCAACUAGCAGCCAUGGUGAGUAUUGUUUUUGGUUUGUCUAUAUCAUAUGGUGUUUACAAGUAAAUAUUGCUACACUAACUAACCUUUUAGAUUAAUAUCUAUUCUAUUUGCAAUUUGCAAAGUUCUUUAGUAAAUAUUUACCUUUUAGAUUAACCUUUUAGUUUAUAUAAUAUGGUGUUUACAAGUAAAUAUUCUUUUGUUCCUCCUCCUAGAAAAUAUAGAAUAUUGAUUUUGACAUCUGGGUAGAAUUCUAUAUGCUUAGGCUUUUUUAAAGGUUGCAAAGUUGAAUGUACUAAAUGGAGAAUCUUCACUUAAGUCAGCUUCAAUCACUCUUUAUAAUUUUGGAAUUCUGCAAGAAUUAUCCUCGUAAUAUAUUUGACUUUUUAAUCUUAUUACGUGUCUGAUACUGCAUAUACCAGAGGAAAAACUUAAAAUGGUGAUGCUGUAGGAGAGGGAGGGUUGCCAGAAAUCCGAAUUUGAAGCCAAAUUAAGGCAGGCUGAUGUUAGUUUCAAAUUUCUAAAUUUUAUACUGUUGGGAACUCUGAAUGAGCAAUAUUCAGACAAAACACGGCUUAGAUUGAAUUCUGAAUUGAUAUCCCUCUUGCAAA